GACGAACGCUGGCGGCGUGCUUAACACAUGCAAGUCGAACGGUGAAGGGACCGGUUUUUGCUGGUUCUGGAUGAGUGGCGAACGGGUGAGUAACACGUGAGUGACCUGCCCCCUUCUUCUGGAUAACCGCAUGAAAGUGUGGCUAAUACGGGAUAUUCUGCGCCUGCUGCAUGGUGGGUGUGGGAAAGAUAUUGUUUCGGUGGGGGAUGGGCUCGCGGCCUAUCAGCUUGUUGGUGGGGUGAUGGCCUACCAAGGCGGUGACGGGUAGCCGGCCUGAGAGGGCGGACGGUCACACUGGGACUGAGACACGGCCCAGACUCCUACGGGAGGCAGCAGUGGGGAAUAUUGCACAAUGGGCGCAAGCCUGAUGCAGCGACGCCGCGUGAGGGAUGGAGGCCUGCGGGUUGUAAACCUCUUUCGCCAGUGAAGCAGGCCUGUCCCUUUUGUGGGUGGGUUGACGGUAGCUGGAUAAGAAGCGCCGGCUAACUACGUG
RNAcentral lists this ribosomal RNA (493 nucleotides) under uncultured bacterium. Its description in RNAcentral is "partial 16S ribosomal RNA". It matches the Rfam family "Bacterial small subunit ribosomal RNA", at positions 28 to 507 of the family's 1533-position model. The record is from RNAcentral.